GUGUAGUGUAAGCAUAGAUCCUACUAAGUGUCGUUUGUCAUUGCUCUUCUUGUAGCCUCGAGACUUCAGUGCAAGACCGGCGCCUCAGUUAGCCAUGUUUCUCUUGCCAAGAAAAUGCCCGUAGUUGUCCACGCCUCUGCAGAGGCUGGUGCAACUGAUGCCGCGGAGCAACCAGAGAAGCCAAAACCAGCGGCUUCUAUCGAGGACAUGCCGCUCGAGUCCAAGCAGCAGAUGAUCCUGGAGCAGAGGGCACGGAUGAAGGUGGCCAAGAAGCUGAGGCAGAGGCGCAAGCGGCUCGUCCAGAAGAGGCGGCUGAGGAAGAAGGGCAGGUGGCCACCGUCCAAGAUGAAGAAGCUCAAGAAUGUCUGACCGGCACAUGAUGUUAAACGGCUGGUCUUUAAACCUCCGUGUUGCGUUCCUCUAAUGCAUUGGUGUCUGUUUGGUUUGUACAAUUUUUCUGUUCUGAAACACAUAAUCGGUUAUAGUGCAGUUAACUAUAUUACCAUAAUGAAAUGAAACCUUUUUGCGUGUCCAUAGCAGCGGAUUGAUGUGCUUUUAACCAAUUUUAG
RNAcentral lists this long non-coding RNA (569 nucleotides) under Triticum aestivum (bread wheat). RNAcentral describes it as "long non-coding RNA (TAES_LNC027204)". The record is from RNAcentral. Lineage: Eukaryota; Viridiplantae; Streptophyta; Magnoliopsida; Poales; Poaceae.